RNA transcript from Oncorhynchus kisutch (coho salmon), 3988 nucleotides. It is a transcript of the gene named AP-2 complex subunit mu-B, with no coding region annotated. The transcript is spliced from 14 exons. Lineage: Eukaryota; Metazoa; Chordata; Actinopteri; Salmoniformes; Salmonidae. The record is from RefSeq and is a predicted model, not a curated record.
CCGUUGAAAUCUAUAAAUCCAGCAGGGUUAGUAGUUGUGGGUGCUUCACUGCCCUAUAAUCCGCUUCAUUGUCAAUUGACAGUGAGUCUCUUCGGAGUUAGGAGCGGUCGACAUCUUGAAUUGGAGUAAGUAGUCACUCCUCAUGGCCUGUUAUGACUGAGAGGCUGCCAUCAUGAUUGGAGGAUUGUUCAUCUACAACCACAAGGGGGAGGUGCUGAUCUCCCGCGUCUACCGUGAUGACAUAGGGCGCAACGCGGUGGAUGCGUUCCGCGUGAACGUGAUCCAUGCGCGGCAGCAGGUGCGCUCGCCGGUCACCAACAUCGCCCGCACCAGCUUCUUCCACGUCAAGCGCUCCAACAUCUGGCUGGCGGCGGUCACCAAGCAGAAUGUCAACGCCGCCAUGGUGUUCGAGUUCCUCUACAAGAUGUGCGACGUCAUGACGGCCUACUUCGGCAAGAUCAGCGAGGAGAACAUCAAGAACAACUUUGUGCUGAUCUACGAGCUGCUGGACGAGAUCCUGGACUUUGGCUACCCCCAGAACUCGGAGACUGGCGCACUGAAGACCUUCAUCACUCAAACAGGCAUCAAGAGCCAGCACCAUUCCAAGGAGGAGCAGUCUCAGAUCACCAGUCAGGUGACCGGGCAGAUCGGCUGGCGUCGCGAGGGCAUCAAGUACCGUCGCAACGAGCUCUUCCUGGACGUGCUGGAGAGCGUCAACCUGCUGAUGUCCCCACAAGGCCAGGUGCUGAGCGCCCACGUCUCGGGCCGCGUGGUGAUGAAGAGCUACCUGAGCGGCAUGCCGGAGUGCAAAUUUGGAAUGAACGACAAGAUCGUCAUCGACAAACAGGGCAAAGGGGGCGCCACUGAGGAGGCGGCGGGCAAGAGUGAUUUGGGAGGCAGUGGCGGUGGUGGCGGUAAGCAAUCCAUAGCCAUUGACGACUGUACAUUCCACCAGUGUGUGCGUCUCAGCAAGUUUGACGCUGAGCGCAGCAUCAGCUUCAUUCCUCCGGACGGAGAAUGUGAACUCAUGAGGUACCGCACCACCAAGGACAUCAUCCUACCCUUCCGUGUCAUCCCCCUUGUCAGGGAGGUGGGCCGCACCAAGCUUGAAGUCAAGGUGGUCAUUAAGUCCAACUUCAAGCCCUCGCUUCUGGCUCAGAAGAUUGAGGUAUGGCUACAGAGGGAUAUAGGGGUACCAAGUGAGCAUAGAGCUUUGGACACAGUACCUGACCAGGUCGUGGUCAUCACGGUCAGGUGCGCAUCCCCACCCCUCUCAACACCAGCGGGGUCCAGGUGAUCUGCAUGAAGGGCAAGGCCAAGUACAAGGCCAGCGAGAACGCCAUCGUCUGGAAGAUCAAGCGUAUGGCAGGGAUGAAGGAGUCUCAAAUCAGUGCUGAGAUCGAGCUGCUGCCCACCAACGACAAGAAGAAGUGGGCGCGCCCUCCCAUCUCCAUGAACUUUGAGGUGCCAUUUGCUCCGUCCGGACUCAAGGUGCGCUACCUGAAGGUGUUCGAGCCCAAGCUGAACUACAGUGACCACGACGUCAUCAAAUGGGUGCGCUAUAUCGGCCGCAGCGGCAUUUAUGAGACACGCUGCUAACCGCCACCUCACAAUCGGGUGGAAAGAGGGACGCAACAGGGAAGAGGCUGGACCAAGGGAGGGAGCGAAAGACGACAACAUGGGAUCGUUUCUUUCAGUCUUUUUUUCCCCCGGGCUGGCUGACAAACGGAAAAAAAAUCUAUAUAUUGAAAAUUAUUAUAUUACUAAAAGCAUAUAUGUAUAAAUAAUGCAAACAUCCUGUGAAGUACAAAAAAUACCAUCUGCAUCUAAAGGGUCUUUUCCCCUUUUUAAUCUAAACAAAACAUCCAUUCCACCCCCAUGAUAUGUUGUUUACUAUUCCUGUACAACCCAUCUAUUCCCCCUGGCACUGAAUUAGUGGACGACUGUACCCCUUGCCCAUAACCACAGAUCUAGAAUCAGAUCAUGCACCAUACCCUCAAUCCUAAUGUAUUAGGAGGAUAAAAAAAAAGUGUCUGACCAUGUAUCAUUGGCUUAGGAGUAACUGCUACCCUCCCUCUCUCUUGAUGCUGGCAUAGGUGUGUGUGUAUCGCUCUUCUGUUCUCCUGUAGCAACUAACGUCUCCUGUCCCACCUCUCUCUCCCCAGCCCUGCCCCUGUAUCUAUAUCUAACCGGCGGAGUCACUCUUUAGCCCAGUGUGUAGUUUUCAGCCGUAUGUGGUGUAGACGCAUCCGUUAAGUGUCAUGCCGUUGUCAGUACAUUUUCUAAGUUUUGUUAUUUUAACACCCGGCCUUCCCAGAGUAUUGUAUUCAUGAAUCGUCUUGUGUUUUUGUAUUUAGUGCUUUGUCGUGCUUCUCUAAAGCUCUCUGGCCACCAUUCCAUCGAGCUGCCUCACGGUCUUAUCCCACACCCUUAGUCCUCCUCUACUAUUUCCAAUAGCUGGUGGUGUCAUUAUUAUGAUUCCUCCUGACGCAGGUAUCAUUUUGCUGUAGUUCUGUCUUAAGUGCUGCAGAGAUUCCUUCUGUGUGACCAAAAUUGUCAGUUUUAGGAACAAAAAAAAUGUAGCGAUGACAAUAGACGGGACACAUCAGUCUAUGAAUAUAAAUAUAUAUAAACACAUCUCUAUAUUGUAUGAAUGGUAAAAAUGUGCUAUCGAGCAGAGCCAGUUGUUACGGUCUCAAUGGUCUGCUGUUAGGGAUGGUGUUUGUGUAGGAGACGCAGUUGAGCAGAUCUGUGUGUGUGUGCGUGCGUGCAUUGCUAUUCUUCCCCAGGACCACGAUCUGCUAAACAUGUCUCGGGAGUCUGAAAUUCUGGCUGCAAAUUCCCAGUUCUGAUCCCGACUGGAAUUCUGACCCUCCCAUAUGCUUUACAUUAGCAUGGGUGUAUUUAUUGACCAGUUAAAGGGAUAGUUCAACAAAUUACAAUGGCUUUGGUUUCCUUACCCUGUAAGCAGUCUAUGGACAAGGUAUGACAACAACAUGCUUUGGUUUAGUUUCCCUGUCACUGUUAUCACAUGCAAAUGUUUUAUCAUUUGUGGCACAAAUCCCAUUCAUGUCAUGGGACCGAUAUUAGCAUUUGUCGCGCAUCAUGUUCAAAUCAAUUUGUGAUCCAUUUGGACAUGAUGCAUGAAAAACGAUAAUAUUGGUCCCAUGACUUCAAUGGGAUUUGUGCCACAAAUGUUAAAAUGUUUGCAUGUGGAAACGGUGCCAAGGAAGCUAAACCAAAGCAUGGCUUGCUGUCAUACCUUGUCCAAAGACUGAUUUCCCCCACCCAUAUAAAAAAAUAUAUUGUUUACAACUUAAUUUUGAAAUCAGUUUAAUGAAGGGAUUUGGAUAUGGAACAAUGGUGUGUGUUACCAGAGAGAGAGAAAUGGGUUGCGUCCCAAAUAGUACAUUACUUUUAAGGUGCCAUUUGGGACAGAGACAGAGUGACUGAGUGUUCAACUCAUCUCAGCCUACUGGACUUGGACUGCCUGCAUUUCAAAUGAACAUUUUGAAAUAUUCCACCUUUCAGAUAGCGUUCCUCUUCCUCUCAUAUUCCUUCUAGUUCAGUCAUGGCUAUUGUGGGUAUUAAACAAAGGCUAUCAGAUUGUAUGAGCAUUUGCAGUUGCAACAAACACUCAGUGUGACACUGCAUAAAGUUUCCAUUCUCUUUUUCUCUGGCACUACGUUCUACCAAUGAACACUAAAAGCGCUUCUGCUAACUCCUGAAAAACCCUAUCUCUCUGGCUGGCUGUAAUUGCACACUAUUCCCAAAAUCCUAUGGGUCCUGGCCAAAAGUAGUGCACUAUAUAGGCAAUAGGUUGCCAAUUGAGACCUAGUCUCCCUCUCUGGUCAAUGCCCACUAUGUCAUGGGAUGGGGAGGGAGAGUCCUGGGGGCUUGACCCUCUGCUUCAAUGUUUCCAUGGGAUCCAUUUGGUAACUAUGUGACUGUCAAGGUAAUCCCAAUAAAAAAGGUGUAACCAAUGGAA